GGCUGGCUGCGUGCCCCUCAUUCCCGCCGCCCUUACAUGUGGUUGCUGGUGCCCUUAAAAUGAAGGGUGAUUCCCUCCGUUGGACUUGCUGGACCGUGGCUUCAUGGGCUGCAAGCUGUUGCCAAGGUGCUUGCUGUUUGCACCUCCAAAUGUUGCUCAAGCUUGACUCUCUCCUUCUGCUGGGUCGUGAGUGAAUGAGGAGCUAUUGUUGGAUGUUGUUGUUGGAGUGCAUAAGUCCAAGAUGAAAUCUGUGGGCUUCUUCUCAUUCCAAGAUGUGGCAGUUGGACGGUGGAGGUUAGAUGAAUGUAAAGUACUGGAACUCUUUGGGUCGUGACACUUCCGUGCACCCCCUACUUCACGUGCUAGAUGUAGCAUCUUGUGCUAAUGGGCCCGCUGCUUUGUAGAUGUAGGGUUCUACAUAUUAAAUUAAUCAACCCAUCACUUCCUCCUAAGUUAGACGUUGUGUAUAGGACCAUGAUGUGCAAAGCUGUUGGACAAUUUGAAGCUGGACGUCUAUGUGCUAGGGCAACCUUCUUUUGCUUUUUAUUCUCCAAGCCAAAUGAAGUCAACGUUUAAUCACUUGGGUCGUGGCAUGCUAUGCUGGCUUCUUCAAAUGGAAUCAAAUUGUCAUGCAUGUGACAGCUCUGCCAGACGCACCUCCUUUUUACUGAAUCAGUACCUCCACUUUUCUUAUUUAAACGCCAAAUGUCCCAAAUUAUAUUUCCAAAAUUCUUCUUGCAAUUAAUAAUGCAAAUAAUUAACUCGGAUAAUUCAAAUUAAUUAAAAUUAGAAUUUCCGGUCAAAUUAAGCACAAUUAGCAAAAACGGAAAAAUACCGGACAUUUAUGCACAAUUCC
This 856-nucleotide long non-coding RNA is filed under the name Vigna radiata. RNAcentral's name for it is "long non-coding RNA (VRAD_LNC017045)". The record is from RNAcentral. Lineage: Eukaryota; Viridiplantae; Streptophyta; Magnoliopsida; Fabales; Fabaceae.